Molecule: transfer-messenger RNA, 390 nt
Filed under: Bdellovibrionales bacterium
Lineage: Bacteria; Pseudomonadati; Bdellovibrionota; Bdellovibrionia; Bdellovibrionales
Rfam family: transfer-messenger RNA
About the family: Bacterial tmRNA, also known as 10Sa RNA or SsrA, is named for its dual tRNA and mRNA-like properties.
Source: RNAcentral
GGGGGUGAAUAGGGUUCGACGGAAUUGUUGAAGCUCUUGUUUGCACGUCGAGGGUUCGGUUGGCCUCGUUAAAAAGCCGAAAAACUAUAAAUGCAAACCAAGACGUAACAGACAGCAAUGCUUAUGCACUUGCUGCCUAAUACCUUGUAGACCUGCUGCCUAGUGCACCGGGUCGGUUGCUAAAGAGAGUGCUUGCGGCUCUUUGGUAACUUAAACUUAGUGAGCUAGUGUGGAGUUGUUGCCUUACAGCGCCAUGCGAAACUUAAAGGCUAGCUAAGAGAUAUCUCGUGACUUAGAGCUCUUUUAGUAAAACUAAAGAUGUCACUAAACGUGUAGAUUGCAAGAAGAGAUCUUUUUCGGACGGGGGUUCGAUUCCCCCCACCUCCAUUC